GUGAGGUCCACAACAAGACUCUAGGAGCUCCAGACUCAGGCCUCUGGGUUCUUCCUGGUCCUUGGGAGUGUGCCCACAUUUCAGGAGGGUAGCCUGGCCAGUGGAUCACUCCUAUUGACUAGUACAGUAUUUCUUUUAUGGGAUCAUUCCUCACACAAUGAGGGAGACAGUAGCCCAGAGGUGGGCAAGCCUAUGUCCUCCAAGGGCACUGUUGCCCAGCUGCACCAAGUGGCUCUUUCGACGGAUGACUCAUUGAUAUGGCUCUUUUUGAGCCAACAGGAAAAAUCUCUCCUGAGACCAUCUAAUGAUAUGCGUAAGAACAACAGCUCAUUUCCAGGCAGACAUGUGAUUCAACUUCUGAGGUCAGAGUGGCCCAGUGCAGCAACAGUCAUCAAAAUAAAAGAUGCUGUGUAACACUCCAUAGUCUCCCUAUCCAAAAAGAAGGAGCCAGAAUGUUUCAAAAGACACCCAUUGCAUAACUACACUGCUUCUUGGAUGAUCUGCCCAAAGAAGAUGUUUCUAGCAGAUCCUGGGAGCUGGCAGAAAAACAAUCCUGUUGAUACAGUAAUGGAUUUUGAAAAUUAAAAUAGCUUAAUAUGU
Molecule: long non-coding RNA, 600 nt
Organism: Pan troglodytes (chimpanzee)
Lineage: Eukaryota; Metazoa; Chordata; Mammalia; Primates; Hominidae
Exons: 4
Source: RefSeq, a predicted model, not a curated record